AGAGUUUGAUCAUGGCUCAGGAUGAACGCUAGCGGCAGGCUUAACACAUGCAAGUCGAGGGGCAGCGGGAUGUAGCAAUACAUUGCCGGCGACCGGCGGAUGGGUGCGUAACGCGUAUGCAACCUACCUUAUACAGGGGAAUAACCUUUCGAAAGGGAGACUAACACCCCAUAGUAUUGAUUUAAGGCAUCUUAGAUUAAUUAAAUAUUUAUAGGUAUAAGAUGGGCAUGCGUACGAUUAGCUAGUUGGUAAGGUAACGGCUUACCAAGGCGACGAUCAUUAGGGGUUCUGAGAGGAAGGUCCCCCACACUGGUACUGAGACACGGACCAGACUCCUACGGGAGGCAGCAGUGAGGAAUAUUGGUCAAUGGGCGCAAGCCUGAACCAGCCAUGCCGCGUGCCAGGAGGACGGCCUUAUGGGUUGUAAACUGCUUUUACAUAAGACUAACCGUAUAUUUGCGAAUAUACCUGAAUGUAUUAUGAGAAUAAGGAUCGGCUAACUCCGUGCCAGCAGCGGC
RNAcentral lists this ribosomal RNA (518 nucleotides) under uncultured bacterium. RNAcentral describes it as "bacterial SSU rRNA". It matches the Rfam family "Bacterial small subunit ribosomal RNA", at positions 8 to 518 of the family's 1533-position model. The record is from RNAcentral.